AUGGACAAUCUACUCUCUCCGUCCUCCUGCUUCCUUCCACCCUCGGCGUCCUCCCAAUUCUCCACGGUGGGCCAACACGUGGUCGAGUUCGUGCCCCUGCUUCACGAGCAAUGGCCGUUCGACGACGGCACGAUGUCCCAGAACGAGGACAGGGAGCUGUGGGCGCCUAUGGGGAGCACUCUUCCCCGGAGCCCUGAGCUCUCGGAGCUGCCGUCGAGCGUCACGGCAACGCCGCUGUCCAAUGGCCGAGCGGCAGGCCGCGACAAAUUGGACCGUCGAUUUUGCGACCUCCGCGCUGUCGUCCCCAACGUGUCCCGUAUGGACAAGGCAUCACUCCUUGCUGACGCUGCCACCUACAUCGGAGAGCUACGCACCCGCGUAGCGCACCUCGAGGACGAGGCCAACAAGACAUUGGAGAAGGGAGCUGCGGCCGCCGCUUCUCGCGGUGGUACAGCUUCCAAGUUCCUGCAGGUAGAUGAAACGGUGGACGUGCGGAUGGUGGGACGAGACGGGGCCGCCGUGCGUGUGACCACCACUGCCACCCACGCUCCCGCGCAGCUGAUGGGCGCCCUCCGGUCACUGGAGCUGCAGGUGCAGCAUGCCUGCGUUAGCCACGUGCAGGGCGUGACCCUGCAAGACGUCCUCGUGGACGUGCCAACCUCGAUGCAGGACGCCGACGACCUCCGCUCGGCGCUGCUCCAGGCGCUGCAGGACAGCUAG
RNAcentral lists this ribosomal RNA (720 nucleotides) under Triticum aestivum (bread wheat). Its description in RNAcentral is "partial small subunit ribosomal RNA". Lineage: Eukaryota; Viridiplantae; Streptophyta; Magnoliopsida; Poales; Poaceae. The record is from RNAcentral.